Cydia strobilella is the source of this 76-nucleotide non-coding RNA. The record is from the annotation of a RefSeq genome assembly. Lineage: Eukaryota; Metazoa; Arthropoda; Insecta; Lepidoptera; Tortricidae.
GGUGAGGUGGCCUAGGGGUUCAUGGCGUUAGCCGCGAUAGCUAAUAAAGACGCCGGUUCGAAUCCGGCCUUCACCA